GAAAUGCGAUAAGUAAUGUGAAUUGCAGAAUUCAGUGAAUCAUCGAAUCUUUGAACGCACAUUGCGCCCGCCAGUAUUCUGGCGGACAUGCCUGUCCGAGCGUCAUUUCAACCAUCAAGCCCCCGGGCUUGUGUUGGGGACCUGCGGCUGCCCGCAGGCCCUGAAAACCAGUGGCGGGCUCGCUGUCACACCGAGCGUAGUAGCAAUCACCUCGCUCAGGGCGUGCUGCGGGUUCCGGCCGUUAAACAGCCUUACAAAACCCAAGGUUGACCUCGGAUCAGGUAGGAAGACCCGCUGAACUUAAGC
RNAcentral lists this unclassified non-coding RNA (306 nucleotides) under plant metagenome. RNAcentral's name for it is "partial contains 5.8S ribosomal RNA, internal transcribed spacer 2, and large subunit ribosomal RNA". The stretch from base 1 to 105 matches the Rfam family "5.8S ribosomal RNA", at positions 50 to 154 of the family's 154-position model. The record is from RNAcentral.